UACGGAUGGUGCAAGCGUUGUCCGGAUUUAUUGGGUUUAAAGGGUGCGUAGGCGGCUUCAUAAGUCCGUGGUGAAAGCCAACAGCUCAACUGUUGAACUGCCAUGGAUACUGUGAGGCUUGAGUACAGACGAGGUAGGCGGAAUGGAUCGUGUAGCGGUGAAAUGCAUAGAUACGAUCCAGAACACCGAUUGCGUAGGCAGCUUACUAGGCUGUAACUGACGCUGAGGCACGAAAGCGUGGGGAGCGAACAGG
Molecule: ribosomal RNA, 253 nt
Filed under: uncultured bacterium
Lineage: Bacteria
Description: partial 16S ribosomal RNA
Rfam family: Bacterial small subunit ribosomal RNA
Source: RNAcentral